RNAcentral lists this ribosomal RNA (455 nucleotides) under uncultured Anaerolineaceae bacterium. RNAcentral's name for it is "bacterial SSU rRNA". It matches the Rfam family "Bacterial small subunit ribosomal RNA", at positions 917 to 1381 of the family's 1533-position model. Lineage: Bacteria; Bacillati; Chloroflexota; Anaerolineae; Anaerolineales; Anaerolineaceae. The record is from RNAcentral.
GACGGGCCCGCACAAGCAGCGGAGCGUGUGGUUAAUUCGAUGAUACACGAAGAACCUUACCAGGUUUGACAUGCUAGUGGUAGGGAUCCGAAAGGUGACCGACCCUCGGGGAGCUAGCACAGGUGCUGCAUGGCUGUCGUCAGCUCGUGUCGUGAGAUGUUCGGUUAAGUCCGCUAACGAGCGCAACCCUCGCUGUGUGUUACAUGUGUCACACGGGACUGCCCGGGUCUUAAAACCGGAGGAAGGUGGGGAUGACGUCAAGUCAGCAUGGCCUCUAUGUCCAGGGCUACACACGUGCUACAAUGGGCGAUACAGAGUGACGCGAAGCCGCGAGGUGGAGCAAAUCGCAGAAAAUCGCUCUCAGUUCGGAUUGGAGUCUGAAACCCGACUCCAUGAAGGUGGAAUCGCUAGUAAUCGCGCAUCAGCAUGGCGCGGUGAAUACGUUCCCGGGCCUU